Molecule: non-coding RNA, 105 nt
Filed under: bovine gut metagenome
Also listed under: 1 other name
Description: THF riboswitch
Rfam family: THF (Tetrahydrofolate) riboswitch aptamer
About the family: THF riboswitch presents a pseudoknot that joins P1-P2 and the loop of P3 and two THF binding.
Source: RNAcentral
GCAGAGUAGGACAGGGCGCGUGAAGUGCCGGCUGAACAGGGAGUUGUCAGCCAGACGAAAAGCGGCAGAGAAGCCGCUUGCGGUGCCAGGUCCGCAUCCCGCUGC